RNAcentral lists this ribosomal RNA (1326 nucleotides) under metagenome. RNAcentral describes it as "bacterial LSU rRNA". It matches the Rfam family "Bacterial large subunit ribosomal RNA", at positions 1561 to 2925 of the family's 2925-position model. The record is from RNAcentral.
AGUGGAUGGGGAGCAACCUAGUUGUGCGUGUGUAAAGGUAGUGCCAAGAAAAGCGAUGAUCAUGUUGAAAAUCAAUUCCCGGUACCCGAAACCGACACAGGUGGGCAAGUAGAGAAUACUAAGGGGCGCGAGGUAACUCUCUCCAAGGAACUCGGCAAAAUGACCCCCGUAACUUAGGGAGAAGGGGUGCCACCGAGAGGUGGUCGCAGUGAAGAGGCCCAGGCGACUGUUUAGCAAAAACAUAGGUCUCUGCAAACUCGAAAGAGGAGGUAUAGGGGCUGACGCCUGCCCAGUGCCGGAAGGUUAAAGAAGUUGGUCAGUCUUAGGAUGAAGCUAGCGACUGAAGCCCCGGUGAAAGGCGGCCGUAACUAUAACGGUCCUAAGGUAGCGAAAUUCCUUGUCGGGUAAGUUCCGACCCGCACGAAAGGCGUAACGAUCUGGGCGCUGUCUCGGAGAGAGGCUCGGCGAAAUAGGAUUGUCUGUGAAGAUACGGACUACCUGCAUUUGGACAGAAAGACCCUAUGAAGCUUUACUAUAGCUUGGAAUUGUGUUCGGGCUUCCUGUGCGCAGGAUAGGUGGGAGGCGUAGAAGGUAUUCUUGUGGGGAUACUGGAGCCAACGGUGAGAUACCACUCUCAGGAGGCUAGAAUUCUAACUUAAUUAAGGACAGUUUCAGGUGGGUAGUUUGACUGGGGCGGUCGCCUCCAAAAAGGUAACGGAGGCGUACAAAGGUUCCCUCAGACUGGUUGGAAAUCAGUCGAAGUGUGCAAAGGCAGAAGGGAGCUUGACUGCGAGAAGUACAGUUCGAGCAGGGUGGAAACACGGUCUUAGUGAUCCGACGGUGCUGUGUGGAAGGGCCGUCGCUCAACGGAUAAAAGUUACUCUAAGGAUAACAGGCUGAUCUCCCCCAAGAGUUCACAUCGACGGGGAGGUUUGGCACCUCGAUGUCGGCUCAUCGCAACCUGGGGCGGAAGUACGUCCCAAGGGUUGGGCUGUUCGCCCAUUAAAGCGGUACGUGAGCUGGGUUCAGAACGUCGUGAGACAGUUCGGUCCAUAUCCGAUGUAGGCGUGAGAAUAUUGAGGGGAGCCUUCCUUAGUACGAGAGGACCGGGAAGGACGCACCGCUGGUGUACCUGUUAUGAUGCCAAUUGUAAACGCAGGGUAGCCAAGUGCGGAGAGGAUAACCGCUGAAAGCAUCUAAGUGGGAAGCCCACCUCAAGAUGAGUAUUCUGGUGUAAGGUCACGGGAAGACGACCCGUAAAUAGGCACGAGGUGGAAGUGCAGAGAUGUAUGAAGCCGAAGUGUACUAAUAGACCGUCGGCUUGAC